GAUGAACGCUGGCGGCGUGCCUAAUACAUGCAAGUCGAGCGAACAGACGAGGAGCUUGCUCCUCUGACGUUAGCGGCGGACGGGUGAGUAACACGUGGAUAACCUACCUAUAAGACUGGGAUAACUUCGGGAAACCGGAGCUAAUACCGGAUAAUAUAUUGAACCGCAUGGUUCAAUAGUGAAAGACGGUUUUGCUGUCACUUAUAGAUGGAUCCGCGCCGCAUUAGCUAGUUGGUAGGGUAACGGCUUACCAAGGCAACGAUGCGUAGCCGACCUGAGAGGUGAAUCGGCACCACGGGACCUGGAACACGUCCAAGCCUCCAACGGGAGGCAGCAGGAGGGAUUCUUCCGCAAUGGGCGAAAGCUUGACGGAGCAACGCCGCGGGAGUGAUGAAGGUCUCCGGAUCGUAAAACUCUGUUAUUAGGGAAGAACAAAUGUGUAAGUAACUAUGCACGUCUUGACGGUACCUAAGCAGAAAGCCCCGGCUAACUACGU
RNAcentral lists this ribosomal RNA (496 nucleotides) under uncultured bacterium. RNAcentral describes it as "partial 16S ribosomal RNA". It matches the Rfam family "Bacterial small subunit ribosomal RNA", at positions 28 to 506 of the family's 1533-position model. The record is from RNAcentral.